GUCGAGCGGCAGCACGGGUACUUGUACCUGGUGGCGAGCGGCGGACGGGUGAGUAAUGCCUAGGAAUCUGCCUGGUAGUGGGGGAUAACGCUCGGAAACGGACGCUAAUACCGCAUACGUCCUACGGGAGAAAGCAGGGGACCUUCGGGCCUUGCGCUAUCAGAUGAGCCUAGGUCGGAUUAGCUAGUUGGUGAGGUAAUGGCUCACCAAGGCGACGAUCCGUAACUGGUCUGAGAGGAUGAUCAGUCACACUGGAACUGAGACACGGUCCAGACUCCUACGGGAGGCAGCAGUGGGGAAUAUUGGACAAUGGGCGAAAGCCUGAUCCAGCCAUGCCGCGUGUGUGAAGAAGGUCUUCGGAUUGUAAAGCACUUUAAGUUGGGAGGAAGGGCAGUUACCUAAUACGUGAUUGUUUUGACGUUACCGACAGAAUAAGCACCGGCUAACUCUGUGCCAGCAGCCGCGGUAAUACAGAGGGUGCAAGCGUUAAUCGGAAUUACUGGGCGUAAAGCGCGCGUAGGUGGUUUGUUAAGUUGAAUGUGAAAUCCCCGGGCUCAACCUGGGAACUGCAUCCAAAACUGGCAAGCUAGAGUAUGGUAGAGGGUGGUGGAAUUUCCUGUGUAGCGGUGAAAUGCGUAGAUAUAGGAAGGAACACCAGUGGCGAAGGCGACCACCUGGACUGAUACUGACACUGAGGUGCGAAAGCGUGGGGAGCAAAC
Molecule: ribosomal RNA, 719 nt
Filed under: Pseudomonas syringae
Lineage: Bacteria; Pseudomonadati; Pseudomonadota; Gammaproteobacteria; Pseudomonadales; Pseudomonadaceae
Description: bacterial SSU rRNA
Rfam family: Bacterial small subunit ribosomal RNA
Source: RNAcentral